GCCGCCCCUUUCUUGCCCUCUUCCAGUUGGCUGAACGUAGGCUGUAGGAGGCGUGGCUUCCCCUGGCUGCCGGCGGCCCGAUGUGCCUAUAUAUAGGGGGGCGGGUCUUCGGCUCGCGCCUUCCUUGUAGGAUCUGGACUGCUGCGGAGCUGGGUGGUGGCCUUUUCGGAGCCGCUCCAGAGCGGUCCGGGGCUGGAAGAUGAACGGGACGCGCAACUGGUGUACUCUGGUGGACUUGCACCCGGAGGGGGAGAGCGCGGCAACUGCAAAGUCCUACAAAAUGGUAUCUAACAGAUCAGGCAGUCAUUCUAUAGCAUCGGAGCUGGUAGAAUCCAAUGAUGGGCAUGAGGAAAUCAUCAAGGUUUACUUGAAGGGGAAAGCUGGUGACAGAAUCAUCCACGAGAAGAACAUCGAUCAGCUGAAAAGUGAAGUUCAAUACAUCCAAGAAGCUAGAAACUGUUUGCAGAAGCUUCGGGAGGAUAUAAGUAGCAAGCUUGAGAGAGACUCAAGGGAUUUUCCUCACCAACAGGAGAUGCAGGUGCUAUUGGAAAAGCCAAAUGGCUUCAGGCAGACUUCCACUGCCCUGUACAAGACCCCCUCUGAGACCUUGGCACAAAAUUAUCAAAAUCAAGAUCCUGAGAGUUUGAAGGAAACCGUCCAAGACCUGCUGGCUAGAUUGCAGGAGGCGGAGAGACGGCAUCAAUCUGACAAGGUACUUUUUGAGGCCACACUUAACCGGUACCAGAGAGAAGCUGAGAAGAGUAAUUCUGCCCUUCAGAAAGCUGAGAACAACUUGGAGCAGAGAGAUGCGGAAAUUCUAGAGCUCCAGAGGUGCAUGUUGGGGAUGGAGAAGGAACAACAGAGCUUACUGGAGAAGGUCAGGGAAGGGAAGAAGGCCCUGGAAGAGCUUCGGACCCAGAACACCGACGGCCUGGCACAACAGGAAAAGGUUACCCAGCUGGAAAAGGAAGUGGCUACUCUUCGGGAAAAGAUUCAUCACCUGGAUGACAUGCUGAAGAGUCAACAACGGAAAGUUAGACAGAUGAUAGAGCAGCUCCAGAAUUCUAAAACAGUGAUUCAGUCAAAGGACACAACCAUCCAGGAACUCCAAGAGAAGGUUGCCUACUUGGAAGCCGAGAAUUUAGAGAUGCAUGACCGAAUGGAACACCUGAUAGAGAAGCAAGUCAGUCCUGGAAAUUUCAGUACACAAACCCGAACCAAAAGUGAUGGCCUGGGAAGGUUGAAGAUGUUUUAUGGGAUGAUUGGAGAAGAAGAACAUGUAUGGAUAUAAAAGAACAGCAUCAGCUUCAUAGGACUGAAAAGGGUCUUGAAGCCAUUAUAUCUAUCUCACUACAUCCCUAAAGGGCACCAAACUUCUAAGAGCAUUAGGAUCUCCAAGCCUCCAAACCCUAAGCCCUUGCCUCUCAUCAGGGUGGUGGAAACCUGAGCUGCAUACUGAAUAUUGCUGCUUGCUACCCAUAUUAGCCUAAAGAGGAAAAACCACCUCCCUGUUGUAUUUUACUUCUUGACUGCUCCCUGGCUACUCCCAGGGCCUUGUGUUUUUAUAUCUAAUUCUUAAACUCCUUUCUUCUGUAUGCUGGGCAGACAGAGGAGGGGGUUGGGGGGUGCCGGUGGCCUUCCUCUGGAAACCUGGAGCCCUUUGGUACCACCACCACAGAAACCCCCCUUUGCUGUGGCCAGGACAAGGGCAGAGCCAUGAUUGUUGCUGACCUUCAUUAGAGAGGAGAUUUUUUUCUUCUGAAAGAGGGUGUCAAGGUGCCCUGGAAACCAGGGUUAUACAACAGGACUGGGACAGGGUGCCCUGGCUUGCCUCAGUCCUAACACAUGGAGAGAAAAAUAUCCCACUUGGACUGACUCUCAUCCUGAGGAACUGAAUCUCCUAGCAGCACACCCAUUUCCCCACUUCCUCUGUCCCCAACACUGCAGGGACUUAAUCCUACUCCCAAGAUGGUGGGAUAUAGACCUGGGUUGGAGGCUGUCUGGCUUCAUUGCUGAUGAAUCUCACCUUUGGUUAAGUCCCUGUUUUUUUGGGAGGAGAGUGAGACAGAAAAAUCUACAUUCAAAGAAUGGAUUUGUAGCAGGAAAAGGUCCUUAGGGACACUGACAGCUAUGCCCUCAUCCUUGUUGCCUUUGUCUUCUACCACAAUUCCCAGAAACCCUUGGAGUGUUUCGAUUUGUUUUUGUUUCUUUUUUCCCCCUUCCUUCCCCACCCCAAUUUAAAUUCAACCCAAGAAGCACUCCAGGCUUCCUGGUCCCAUUGCCUGAAGGAUAGUUUUUCUACCAGAUUGCAUCAGUCCCAGGGAAGUGGCUGUGUUUCCCCCCAUAUUUAUUUUCCUAAGUUAUUGGUGUCUUUUUGGUUAUGUCUUGUGGUUGUUUUAAUACCAAAGUUCUGGAACCUACUUAUAGAAUUGCUCAAAACUGGGAAAAGCUUUUUUUUUUGGGGGGGGGGGAUAUGUCUUUCAUCUUUCUCCUCUAUCUGUGUUUCCCUCUCCUUUUCCCAAGCUGAAUUUGUAGACCAGGGUAGGAGGGAGUGUAUGUGUGUGUAUAUGAGGGGAAGUGGGAGGGGACAGGAUGGGGAGGGAAUUGUAUAUUGAUUGUGCAGAAAAUUCCUGAUUAGGACCCUUUGAGAAAGGAUUGGGUGCCCCCCUCAAAUCUCCCUCUCCUUCCCUCUCUCCCACCACUCAGGGUCCUUUUUGGUAGUCUGCCUCUGAAGGAUCCCAUCUCCUCUUGGCCCCUGACUUCUAACCUCCGGUGAUGGAGAUAAAACAUCUGAGGACUAGUAGAGUCCUGCAGAAGAAUAUUAACCGAGAGCAAAGCUCUUAUUUGGUCACUUAGCUCUGCCUCUCUCAAAAGUGGAAGGCUUCAGUUUAUCUGUGUCUGUGUAGAGGAAGCCUGGUACCAGGCCCAGCCCUGCCUAGAACUUGCUCCACCACUGUGGGCAAGUCAUUCCAUGCUUCAGUUAACUCAUCUAUAAAUUGAAGGGCCUGAACUAGCCUAUUUCUGAAGUCUCUCUUGACUCUAAAAUGUGUUUCUAGCCUACACUCUUUAUGUAGUGAACUAAAUAAAUGAUAUCAAUGUGCCUCUUGA
RNA transcript from Monodelphis domestica (gray short-tailed opossum), 3108 nucleotides. It is a transcript of the gene named tuftelin 1, with no coding region annotated. The record is from RefSeq and is a predicted model, not a curated record. NCBI's taxonomy places the organism in Eukaryota, Metazoa, Chordata, Mammalia, Didelphimorphia, Didelphidae.